GACGAACGCUGGCGGCGUGCUUAACACAUGCAAGUCGAACGGAAAGGCCCUGCUUUUGUGGGGUGAUCGAGGGGCGAACGGGUGAGUAACAGGUGAGUAACCUGCCCUUGACUUUGGGAUAACUUCAGGAAACUGGGGCUAAUACCGGAUAGGAGCUGAUGCUGGAUGGUGGGGGGUGGAAAGUUUCGGCGGUUGGGGAUGGACUCGCGGCUUAUCAGCUUGUUGGUGGGGUAGUGGCUUACCAAGGCUUUGACGGGUAGCCGGCCUGAGAGGGUGACCGGCCACAUUGGGACUGAGAUACGGCCCAGACUCCUACGUUAGGCAGCAGUGGGGAAUAUUGCACAAUGGGCCGAAGCCUGAUGCAGCAACGCCGCGUUCGGGAUGACGGCCUUCGGGUUGUAAACCGCUUUCGCCUGUUACGACGCGUUAGUGACGGUAAUGGGUAAAGAAGCACCGGCUAACUACGUG
RNAcentral lists this ribosomal RNA (468 nucleotides) under uncultured bacterium. RNAcentral describes it as "partial 16S ribosomal RNA". It matches the Rfam family "Bacterial small subunit ribosomal RNA", at positions 28 to 507 of the family's 1533-position model. The record is from RNAcentral.